Molecule: non-coding RNA, 936 nt
Organism: Drosophila melanogaster (fruit fly)
Lineage: Eukaryota; Metazoa; Arthropoda; Insecta; Diptera; Drosophilidae
Source: Ensembl
GCGACUUAAAUGGUUUAAGGUAUUACGACCAAGACUAUAUUUUAUUGGUAAUAGGAACGAAAUGCGAAGUGUGCGGCGGUUCAUACUUUUGUGGCGCAGUCGAUUGAAUUGCAGUCGUGAAAUGUGUAAAAUAAACCAAACAACUUUUUUCAAAUUAAUACAAUUAAUAACUGUUCUUUUGUAAGUAAACAAACUUGAAAAUAUUGACAAAUUACCAAUAUGGUCAAGUCUUAAUACCUUUCAACUUACUGUUGCAAUCCCGAGGGCUUAAAGGCAUUUUCAGUUAAGAAAUCAAAGUUAUUUCCUGAGCGGCAAUGAGAGCAGUCAUUGAUUAAGCCAUCAAUCAUAUUAACUUUGACUGGAUGACAAGAUGCAAAGAUGCCGGCUUUGUACAUUUCUAUAUUGCACAUAUGCAAAAGAAUCUUCUCUUUGGUAAGAGAGCAAAAGCAAAUCCUUAAAACGGGCCAAAUGUCAACAGGAAUAAAACGGAAGUCGCAUUCGAUGGCAAGAGACAUUUGAUGGCCAUCGGAUCAUUUUUCACUUCAUUCAUUCAUUCCGGAAAACGUAAUUUAUGAUGGGAAAUUCCUAAGACGGAUCAGCAGGCGAUAAAUUUACAGUUUGCGAAACGUUAUUAAUUGCUAAUUACCUCCGAACAUGAUUAAUGCCCUUCUAGCCGCCGCGUUCAUCUGCAUUUCAGUAUGCUCAUUGAUGUGCCAUUUACACAUAGAGGUAAAAUAACAUAGUAUUAAUUACUGGAGACGGAAGUUUCUAAAUAUGGCAUGCAUUUUGUUUUACAUACUGGGAAAACCGCAGAUCGAUUUCUAAAUGAUUCUAUAUUGAGAUAUUCUUGUAACUAUUUAUUUUUAUUUAUUAAUAAUUCUAAAAAGAUGAAGAAAAUAAAUAUACAUUUUCCUCAAUGUGGAUGAAAGCCGUCCG